This 1278-nucleotide long non-coding RNA is filed under the name Erythranthe guttata (spotted monkey flower). Its description in RNAcentral is "long non-coding RNA (EGUT_LNC000167)". Lineage: Eukaryota; Viridiplantae; Streptophyta; Magnoliopsida; Lamiales; Phrymaceae. The record is from RNAcentral.
AAUCUAAAGUCUCUUGCGCCCGAGAAUGCUCAUACUUCCCCUAUCUCUUAAUUUAUCAAUGGAUGUCAAAUGCUCCAAUACGAGGUCCUCCACCAUAUACUAAAAAUAGCAAACUUGAAAAUAGCAAACUUGUUAUUAUUCAGGAGCCAAAAUAGGAAAUAAAAUUAGAAAAUAAACGCCAUCAAUUAAUCAUAACAUGAUUUAACUUACAUUUUGCAACUUAAAAGUCAUCUACUCUUCAUUUUCCUUAACAAAGUUGGUGCUUGGUCAUUUUCAAUAUGUGAAAAGAAGUAUGGCAACGGAAAGAAAUUAAAAAAGACAUUAAAGUAUAAAUAUAGCAAAAAAUCAAACUGUUGGAGUGUUAAGAAAUGAAAAAUACAAAGAUGGUAUACCUUCAACAUAUAUUUUUGUAAUGGUGGCUGCAAUUGCCGUAUGUAGUUAGCAAGACUGAUAUAUAUUUCUUCCGCAUAUUUCCCUCCAAUGUUGGUCAUUUUUGACUAAUCUGUUUGUCAUAUUUAACUCUUUCAAAAAUAAUGAAAAAAUACGACACUAAACAAAACACAUAAAUGCUCUACAUAGUACAUAUCAUAAUAAACUCUUAUACAUUCAAAUCCACAAAACAAACAAAAGUGUGAGUUGUUAUACAAAUGAAAAAAUAAUAAAGAUGAUAUACAUUGAUGGAAAGUAGAAACGACAUAUACAUAAUCUAUUGUGGCAAAUUCUCAAUAAUUUCAUGAUAUGCAUGCAGAUUAUACAUGGUAUGAGUAACACAUAUAGGAAUAUAUCAUUAUGAAAAGAAUUUAAGAUUACCACUAGUAUUCACUGUGGUAUAUUGUUUUACGGGAAAAAAAAAUACUUAUGCUGCUUUUUAAUGGAAUAAAAGAGAAAUAAGUACCUGAUUGAAUAGUGUUUUUCUGGUGGAAAAUGUUUCCAAUCCCUGUAUAUUGAUAGUUAAGAAAAUUCAGUUAAUAAAUAACCAAACUAUAUCCACUUUAAAGAAAAUCAUAAACAAAUAAAUUUAUUACAUUAAAAGUUUUAGUUUAUUAUAUGAAAGCAUUUGAAAUCCGAACAUGGCUAUUAAUAUAAAUAACACCUAACACACAAACAAACUUUGAAAAGGCCAAUAGAGUCGGACACUUGUGGCACAAAUGAGGAUAUUUUGUCUUCCAUGAGAAAAUAUUGAGAUUGAUAACUGGCAAGAAAAGCUAAAACCAACCUCGUCGACAUUGUUUAGUGCAUGUAUACAAAUACAUUAUCGUACUUUUCGUUCGCUUAGUC